RNAcentral lists this ribosomal RNA (254 nucleotides) under uncultured bacterium. RNAcentral's name for it is "partial 16S ribosomal RNA". It matches the Rfam family "Bacterial small subunit ribosomal RNA", at positions 524 to 776 of the family's 1533-position model. The record is from RNAcentral.
UACGAAGGGGGCUAGCGUUGCUCGGAAUCACUGGGCGUAAAGCGCACGUAGGCGGCUUUCUAAGUCAGGGGUGAAAUCCUGGAGCUCAACUCCAGAACUGCCUUUGAUACUGGAGAGCUUGAGUCCGGGAGAGGUGAGUGGAACUCCGAGUGUAGAGGUGAAAUUCGUAGAUAUUCGGAAGAACACCAGUGGCGAAGGCGGCUCACUGGCCCGGUACUGACGCUGAGGUGCGAAAGCGUGGGGGAGCAAACAGG